AAUAUUACUUUCGAAGAUGACAAUAAAAGACCUGAAUAAUAUCCAUUCAAAAUGUCAAUAAAUACCAUUUACAAAACAUGAUCAUGUUAUGAUCUUAAAAAAUAAAAAUCUCGCUUAGUGACGGAGUUAAUCGACCCACAUAGAUUACAAAUGCAGCAAGAAAAUAUGAAGAAUAUAGUCGAGUUGGCCACUAUAAAAUAGUUUUUAG
This 208-nucleotide unclassified non-coding RNA is filed under the name Melitaea cinxia (Glanville fritillary). RNAcentral's name for it is "misc RNA ENSMCXG00005020345.1". The record is from RNAcentral. Lineage: Eukaryota; Metazoa; Arthropoda; Insecta; Lepidoptera; Nymphalidae.